CUGAUGAACGCGCUCACGACGAAAAUCAAGAAGAGCGAAGAGUUUAAAAGAAAGAUUAUUAUAACUGUUGAACCGAUUGCUCACAAUUACAAGCUCAGCGAUCCCAAUGUGACAACAAUGGGGACUUUAUUUGUGAAAAACACACAAUUAAACAAUGUUAUCGGGAUGUCCCAAUGGUGCAGAAUGAUCAAGGACCCUGCGUACAAGUUGGUCAGGAAUGCCGAGACGCAAAAUUACGCCGUCAGGCCGAACAAUUUGAUUACUUAUGACGAUCAGGAGUCAUUAACGGCGAAGAUCAAUUUUGUGAAGGAGUUUGGAGCCGGUGUUGGGUUGCACAGCGUCAAGACUGAUGAUGUUAAUGGAGAUUGCGGCUGCGGCAGAAUGCCUUACCUCACACACGUCGUCAACAUUCUCAAAAUGUGGUGCGAACCUAUUCCUUGUUUUUAAUUCUUCCGCAGUUAACCGUAGGCAUCCUAACUUAUUAUCCCUAUUAUCAAGAAAUAGUAAUUAUAUUUUUGCAUAAUAAUGUUUUGAAAUAAAGAUGAAAAGUUUUUUUUAUGUCCGCAGAUUUACUAUUAUAGCACACUUUGAGGCCUUGGUUGCACUUUAAAAUUUGAUUCAUUCGAUAUUUACUAUGAAGAG
Molecule: long non-coding RNA, 642 nt
Organism: Cloeon dipterum
Lineage: Eukaryota; Metazoa; Arthropoda; Insecta; Ephemeroptera; Baetidae
Exons: 3
Source: RefSeq, a predicted model, not a curated record